UGUAUCUUAUUUACACAGACUGGUUCCUAAACACAUUUAUUGUAGUUGAAAUACAUUAAAGGACCACUAUAGUGCCAGGAAAACAUACUCAGGGCACUAUAGUGCCCUGAGGGUGCCCCCACCCUUUAGGGUCCCCCUCCCGCCGGGCUCUGGGGGGAGGAAGGGGUUAAACUCACCUCUUUUUCCAGCGCCGGGCAGGGAGCUCUCCUCCUUCUCUCCUCCUCUUCGGCUGAAUGCGCAUGCGUGGCAGGAGCUGCGCGCACAUUCAGGCAGUCCAUAGGAAAGCAUUCAAAAUGCUUUUCUAUGGACGCUGGCAUCUUCUCACUGUGAAAAUCACAGUGAGAAGUGCGGAAGCCCUCUAGCGGGUGUCAAUAAGACAGCCACUAGAGGCUGGAUUAACCCAUUUAUAAACUGUUUAUAGAAAAAAGGGUUAAACCUAGCUAGACCAGGCACCCAGACCACCUCAUUAAGCUGAAGGCGUCUGGGUGCCUAUAGUGGUCCUUUAAAGCGAGUAUUAUUGAUGUGGAGCUCUGUUAUUCACUCAGACACAUCAACAAUAUGCAGCUCCUAGCAAAAAAAGGAUAUUUAUAUAGAAAAUAAGGACAGUGGGAUUUGGGAACUAAAUAUGGAUUCAGGGGAGGAGGUAGCAGUGUGUCGGGGCUGUUUAAAGCUAGUGCUUUAUCUGCAACCGACAGCUGAUUUGAGAUUUAGUGGGCUUAAUUCCAAAGUCUCUUCUUGAAAGUCAUGAGACUGUUCUUUAUUAUUUCAAUGACAUUCUAUUAAAUAUUGUACAUGUUCUGUUACUUGAUUGUUUUUAUGUAUGUAUGUGCAUUACUUCAUUGGAACUCUGGUGAUCACUGUGAACAACCACAUUCACAACAUGGUACGGCUGCAGUCAGAUUCAUGAGCAGUUCCACUCACACUGGGGUAAUGUCUGAGGGACAUUUGUUACCCUUUGUGUAUGUGGAAAACAUUGUUAUAUCAAACCAGCUAUUGUUUUUUUUUGUGUGACAAUUUUUAUUGUUUAUUUUCAGGGUACAGAAGAGAAGGGGAGGGUUAUAGGGGGAAAAUAAUUCACACAGUGAUCCAGAACAUUCUAUAGACAUGUUUUAUACCCCAUGUUUAGCAGAUGGGUUUCAGAUUUUUAUGUAAGGGGUAUAGCAAUAUACACAUUCCCAGUUCCAGUUUAGCGUAUAACCAUUAGGGUUAACAUGUAAGGUUGGCUGUUGGGGACAUUUUGGGCUGGUUGUGAGCAGUGUGGUGGUGCGUGUAGGCCUUUUUCAGUGCCCCUGAGGGUAUCUUAGUGAUAACAGGUAUGCUGGGGUGAUGUUGACUGGAUACUUGAGGUGCAAGUGUAGUAUUGUAAUGGGGGGAGGAGAGAAAAGGGGGGGGAGGUGUGGUUCCUCAUCUUGCUGAUGGUGUCUUGUUACAGUGCCAAUGUACACUUGUCUACAGUAUCCAUGUGUCAGUGCAUAUUGGCAAACCAAACUAGCUAGUUUUAAGGCUUUCUUUUCAAUAGCAAUGCAUGUUACUGCUUUUAUAAUAACACAUUGACAUUAUACUAUCAUUAACAGCGGCACCAUUUAUAAAUAAGAUGCUAGGUUAAGGUUGGGAUUCUAAAGAAGGUUAGGGCAAAGUUAUGAUUAGGGGAAGAGGUGAAGAGGCAGAGAGGGGGCCUAUAACAAAAGGGCUAGGGGGACUUGACUUAUAUUGGGGGAGUUUGUGCUGUAUAUUAGGGGAGUUUGUGCUGUAUAUUGGGGGGUCUGUGCUUUAUAUUGGGCUUAGAUUUUUCCCAUUCAGAGUAGGUUUGAAUAAAAGGUUGGAGAUUGACUGUAUUUAAAAGGAGUCCUGGUCUUGGGGUUCCCAGUUGCCUCCCCAGGAAAUUACCCUUGAAUUUUUUUCUUGUAUAUAUGUUUUUUUUUUUUUUUACGUUUGCCUUAUCUGGGGUGAAAUAUGAAUUAUAUAUGGCACAACAUGGAUUGGUAGUAAAAUAUUGAAUUAUGUGUAUAUGAAAUUAUGGGGUGAAAUGACAUGAACUUGGAAGACGAAUGCAAAUUUUGACUUUUUCUCCCAUGACUCUGACUGAUAUGUUGCAGUGUAUUUCUUAUUUAUCAUUCUACUGACUGCCAUAGCUAGUGUCAUCCAGGGCCACCCAGGUAGUUAGACACAGAAAGUGAUUUAA
RNAcentral lists this long non-coding RNA (2182 nucleotides) under Pelobates cultripes (western spadefoot toad). Lineage: Eukaryota; Metazoa; Chordata; Amphibia; Anura; Pelobatidae. The record is from RNAcentral.